ACUGCCCCUAGAGGCAUUGCAGGUGUGGCUGCCGUGUCCUGUCUGUCAUUAGGUGGCAGAGAGGAGAGAGGCUCCCUAUGUCCAGCAUCCUGGUUGGGGAUGUCUGGAUGGUUGAUAGCCUGACACU
Molecule: small nucleolar RNA, 127 nt
Organism: Eptesicus fuscus (big brown bat)
Lineage: Eukaryota; Metazoa; Chordata; Mammalia; Chiroptera; Vespertilionidae
Product: small nucleolar RNA SNORA17
Exons: 1
Source: RefSeq, a predicted model, not a curated record